RNAcentral lists this ribosomal RNA (245 nucleotides) under Blastocystis sp. RNAcentral's name for it is "partial 18S ribosomal RNA". It matches the Rfam family "Eukaryotic small subunit ribosomal RNA", at positions 87 to 348 of the family's 1831-position model. Lineage: Eukaryota; Bigyra; Opalinata; Blastocystidae. The record is from RNAcentral.
CUGCGAAUGGCUCAUUAUAUCAGUUAUAGUUUAUUUGGUGAAGGAUACUAAUUGGAUAACCGUAGUAAUUCUAGGGCUAAUACAUGAGUAAAGUCCCAUUGGGAUGUGUUUAUUAGAAUGAAAACCAUAUGCUUCGGCAUGAUAGUGAGUAAUAGUAACCUAUCGUAUCGCAUGCUUAAAGUAGCGAUGAGUCUUUCAAGUUUCUGCCCUAUCAGCUUUCGAUGGUAGCAUAUGGGUCUACCAUG